RNAcentral lists this ribosomal RNA (843 nucleotides) under Rosellinia abscondita. RNAcentral's name for it is "eukaryotic LSU rRNA". It matches the Rfam family "Eukaryotic large subunit ribosomal RNA", at positions 85 to 953 of the family's 3401-position model. The record is from RNAcentral. Lineage: Eukaryota; Fungi; Ascomycota; Sordariomycetes; Xylariales; Xylariaceae.
AACGGCGAGUGAAGCGGCAACAGCUCAAAUUUGAAAUCUGGCCUUCGGGUCCGAGUUGUAAUUUGCAGAGGAUGCUUUUGGCGCGGUGCCUUCCGAGUUCCCUGGAACGGGACGCCUUAGAGGGUGAGAGCCCCGUACGGUUGGACACCAAGCCUCUGUAAAGCUCCUUCGACGAGUCGAGUAGUUUGGGAAUGCUGCUCUAAAUGGGAGGUAAAUUUCUUCUAAAGCUAAAUAUUGGCCAGAGACCGAUAGCGCACAAGUAGAGUGAUCGAAAGAUGAAAAGCACUUUGAAAAGAGGGUUAAAUAGCACGUGAAAUUGUUGAAAGGGAAGCGUUUGCGACCAGACCUCUUCAUGGCGGAUCAUCCGGUGUUCUCACCGGUGCACUUCGCCACGUCGAGGCCAGCAUCGGUUUCUGUAGGGGGAUAAAAGCUCUGGGAACGUAGCUCCUCCGGGAGUGUUAUAGCCCUCUGCAUAAUACCUUUACGGGGACCGAGGACCGCGCUUUAUUGCAAGGAUGCUGGCGUAAUGGUCGUCAACGACCCGUCUUGAAACACGGACCAAGGAGUCGAACAUUUAUGCGAGUGUUUGGGUGUUAAACCCUCACGCGUAAUGAAGGUGAACGCAGGUGAGAGCCCUUACGGGUGCAUCAUCGACCGAUCCUGAUGUCUUCGGAUGGAUUUGAGUAAGAGCAUAGCUGUUCGGACCCGAAAGAUGGUGAACUAUGCGUGGAUAGGGUGAAGCCAGAGGAAACUCUGGUGGAGGCUCGCAGCGGUUCUGACGUGCAAAUCGAUCGUCAAAUCUGCGCAUGGGGGCGAAAGACUUAUCGAACCAUCUAGUAGCUG